AUGCAAAUUGAGGUACCGACGCGACGCAAGGCGAAGAAACCGCAGCUGCUGCCUCCAGGGCCAUGGACACUGCCGAUAAUCGGCAGCCUCCACCACUUCGUGAGCGUGCUCCCGCACCGGAGGAUUACAGAGCUGUGUCGCCUGCACGGGCCAGUGAUGUUACUGAGGCUAGGCGAGGUACCAACCGUGGUCGUUUCGAGCGCCGAGGCAGCGGCAGUGGUGAUGAAGACCAACGACCUGGCGUUCGCGAACCGGCCACGCAGCGUGACGCAGGACAUCUACAGCUGCGGUGGGCAGGGCAUCGCCCUAGCCCCUUACGGCGAGCAGUGGCGCCAGAUGCGCAAGGUGUGCGUGGUGGAGCUCCUCAGUGCCAAGCAGGUGAAGCGGCUGGAGGGAAUCAGGGCCGAGGAGGUGAGCAACCUCCUCCAGUCCAUCUCCAUCACAGCCUCCACUCGAGCUGGCGGCGUCGUCAACCUGAGCGAGAAGGUGUCGGCGCUCAGCAACGACAUCGUGUCACGCGGGUUAUUCACUGAGAGGUGCGCUCGGCAGGACGAGUACCUCGGUGAGAUCGACAAGAUGGCCUCCCUGAUGAGUGGCUUCAGCCUCGUCGACCUUUUCCCUUCAUCGCGGUUGGUGCGGUGGUUGAGCAACGGGGAGCGCAACAUGAAAAUGUGUUGUGCCAGAAUGCAAGGCAUCAUUUCCGACAUCAUCGACGGGAGGAAGGCGGCGCAGCACGGCGCCGACUCCGAGGACCUGCUUGACGUGCUGCUCAGGCUGCAGGCAGAGGACUCGCUGCCGUUCCCGCUAACCACAGAGUCUAUCGGCGUCCUCAUCUUUGACAUAUUUACAGCUGCCACUGAGACAUCAGCGACCGUUUUGGAGUGGGCUAUGUCAGAGAUUUUCAAUCACCCCAAAGUAAUGGCUAAAGUUCAGUCAGAGGUUCGACAAGUGUUAGGUCCAGGCAAAGCUGUCAUCGCGAAUAACGACCUCCGUGAGCUGCACUAUAUGCGAAUGGUCAUCAAGGAAGUCCUUCGGAUGCAUCCCCCUAUCCCCCUACUCGUUCCUAGAGAGACCAGAGAGGAUUGUAAAAUCAUGGGCUAUGACAUACCUCAAGGUACUACUAUCUAUGUCAAUGCCUUUGCGAUUUCUCGAGAUCCUAAAUAUUGGGAUAGCCCUGAAGAGUUUAAUCCGGAAAGGUUUGAGAACAAUAACAUGGAUUAUUAUGGGACACACUUCGAAUUCACCCCAUUUGGAGCAGGUCGACGACAAUGUCCUGGGAUAUUAUUUGGCACGUCGACUGUGGAGAUUGGAUUGACAAAUCUUCUCUACCACUUCGACUGGGCGCAUCCUAACGGGGCAGGCGAGUCAGUAGACAUGUCCGAGAAAUUCGGUAUCGCCACAGGCAGAAGGCGUAACCUGCAGCUGAUAGCUAUUCCCUAUGUACCAUCCAGCAGUACUUAG
RNAcentral lists this ribosomal RNA (1461 nucleotides) under Triticum aestivum (bread wheat). RNAcentral's name for it is "partial small subunit ribosomal RNA". The record is from RNAcentral. Lineage: Eukaryota; Viridiplantae; Streptophyta; Magnoliopsida; Poales; Poaceae.